GUUUCUGCUCAGAGAAGCCCUUGAAGCUCCGGAGAGCAUGGGGGCUCAAGGUCCCGGCAGAAAGGGAACCCGCCCUGGCAGACCUCGCAGCUCUGCCAAGACUAGACGGCCAGGCGAGAAGACUUGCCCGGGGCAAGAGCACGGAGGAAGGUUAGCGACUCGUUUAGCACAAGCAUUGGGGGACUGGCGCAGCCUGCGGUCUGGAUUUCUAAGGGGGGGGAAGAGCUUAGGAAGAAAAGGCAGCGGCACAGACUGCCGGCCUCUUCUCCUGCGGAAAAGCCCGCGUGUGAGCUUACCCGCCUCGCCGUGUGCGCGCCCUCGCUCCGCGGGCGCCGGCCCUGUUCUAGGUCACUCUUCUCUCUUGCAUUCGGGUUUCCUGAGGCAGGGGCAGGGGCAGUGGCAGGGGCAGGGUGGGCAUCUCUCAUCUCCAGGGAAGCACAUGGUUUUGUACCGAAUUCACUAAAACGACCGCCUCCCCCACAGGAACCAGGACUGGGGUGUAAUGACAGUGGUGAGGUGGGUGGCAGCUGAGAGUGGCACAAUCCUGGGUUUUGCAGAUAUUUAAUGUUACAUUGAGGCGUUUUGACUCUGCCAUUUUCGGUCCGUAAAUCAGAGACAGUACUAUCCCCACAGGCCUCUGAUAUUCUUGGACGUCCCUGACUGACGCGCUCUUGCACCUAAUUCACCACAUACCCUUUGUACCUCCUGGGCCAAGCGGCCCCAUUCCCUGGCACCAAAACAGAGCAAAACACACACAAGAGACGUGACGGAGGUGAUGGAAAUGCCACAAAACAUCUGGAAACUAAAGGUCCUGCUCUGGACCAAAAGGAACACAGUCAAACUCUCUCCCUCUCUCUCUCUCUUAAAGGCCCCUCUAUCCUUCUGCAUGGACAACCAGGAAAAGGAAAAAAAAAAAAAUGGACUACACACUCCUUUUGUGUCAGCUGAAUGCCUGGGAAGGUGUGUUUACAGGUUUCUCCCAGCCCAGGACGAGCAUUCACCUUGUAAGACCCUUUCGGUCGGCGGCAGGGGCAAGCCUGGCUGGAUUUCCGCCCUUAUAACCCACAAAAACAUUUCAAGCCAUUCUCCGAAGCCACAGCGUGCCUGGCUAAAUGUCUAACUUCCAAAUCUGAAUGCAGAGACCAAAGGGCUGAGGCAGGGAAACGCAGAGGGGCUUUCUCUUCCAUCCUCACGGGGCCCUGGAGGAGUCUGACAGCUGUUUCUAUCGUGUGUUGUAUACAGAGUUGGUACAAUGUAUUAAAUAUUUUAUUUAUGUUACCAUUUUAUAAUAAAAUAUUUUGCUCAACACUUAUUUAAUGUAUG
Molecule: long non-coding RNA, 1323 nt
Filed under: Sus scrofa (pig)
Lineage: Eukaryota; Metazoa; Chordata; Mammalia; Artiodactyla; Suidae
Description: lncRNA (ENSSSCG00015029880.1)
Source: RNAcentral